RNAcentral lists this ribosomal RNA (459 nucleotides) under uncultured bacterium. Its description in RNAcentral is "partial 16S ribosomal RNA". It matches the Rfam family "Bacterial small subunit ribosomal RNA", at positions 338 to 795 of the family's 1533-position model. The record is from RNAcentral.
CCUACGGGUGGCAGCAGUGAGGAAUAUUGGUCAAUGGGCGGAAGCCUGAACCAGCCAAGUAGCGUGCAGGAUGACGGCCCUACGGGUUGUAAACUUCUUUUAUACGGGGAUAACACCCUCCACUUGUGGAGGUCUUCAGGUACCGUGCGAAUAAGGGCAGGCUAAUUCCGUGCCAGCAGCCGCGGGAAUACGGAAGGCCCGGGCGUUAGCCGGAUUCAUUGGGGUUAAAGGGAGCGUAGGCGGGCGUUGAAGGCAGCGGUAAAAGCGCGCGGCUCAACCGCCCCCCGCAGUUGAAACUGGAGGCCUUGAGUUGACAAGAGGAAGGCGGAAUGCGUGGUGUAGCGGUGAAAUGCAUAGAUAUCACGAGGAACCCCGAUUGCGAAGGCAGCAUGCCGGGGUGCGACUGACGCUGAGGCUCGAAGGUGCGGGUAUCAAACAGGAUUAGAUACCCCUGUAGUC